AUGUCACGGUUGAUUAAAUUUAUUAGUUUGACAUCACACGGGCAACCAAAUGCUUCUAUGCACAUCAGACCACAUUCUUUUCACAUCUCAUGACAGAAUAUUGAUCUGUUCGUAUUUUAAGAUCAUUUAAGUUAUUGUUAUAGUUUGUUCAAUUUCUCUGGUCUUCAUAUUACAGAUAUGUUAACAAAGAAAGACCAUUUUGGCAACAUAUAGUUAGUUCUUCGACUGGCUGUUCCGACUCUCAGUACUUUCAGGAGCUGUAUAACUAUUUUACUACUGAAAAUGUUCUCUCACUUUGAAUUACCAUUUCUUUUUUACAGCAAAUUGGUUUAUUAUUCGAGUUGACUAACGAAACAUCUCCACUAAUAAGAAGUCACUCAAUAAUUUUACUUUCAUUUGUCAUUCUUCAAUAGGUGGCUUGGCAUCUUUGUGAUCCAGAUUCUGAGAAGGUAUUUAAGGCCCUUAGAGCGGCAGGAGUGAAGUUGGCUGUAGUGUCGAAUUUUGACACUCAGUUGAGACCAGUUUUGAGGGCUCUGAACUGUGAUCACUGGUUUGAUGCCGUAGCAGUUUCCACUGAGGUAGAAGCAGAGAAGCCUAAUCCAACAAUAUUUUUAAAAGCGUGCGAGUUACUAGAAGUAAAUCCAGAUGACGUUGUUCAUAUUGCAGUCCUCCCAACCAUGCUGGACCUGCUUUUUUUCUGAAGCGACAAAGCAUAAGGAUGGUGGACCACUGGAUAAGGAAUUUUCAAAUACAAUU
Long non-coding RNA from Capsicum annuum, 756 nucleotides. RefSeq lists it as uncharacterized. The record is from RefSeq and is a predicted model, not a curated record. Lineage: Eukaryota; Viridiplantae; Streptophyta; Magnoliopsida; Solanales; Solanaceae. The transcript is spliced from 3 exons.